Molecule: long non-coding RNA, 453 nt
Filed under: Homo sapiens (human)
Lineage: Eukaryota; Metazoa; Chordata; Mammalia; Primates; Hominidae
Description: HSALNT0367783
Source: RNAcentral
CCAAGCAAGAACACAGAGAAAAGGGGUAGUACCCGGAAGGGUGAUUACCGUGAAGAGAGUUUUAAGAUGGCAGGAAUUACUGUUUGUCAGGUAGUGGGAGCAGUUCAGUAGGGAGAGAAAAUCUGAUGAUGCAAGAGUGAGAGGGAAGGAUUACUGGAAUAAUGUCCCUGAGAGGGCAAGAAGGGAAUCCCGUCUAUAAGUGGAGGGAUUGGCCAUAGCUGUAGGGACUGUUCCUUCUUAGAAGUAAGAGGGAAGCCAGCAUAUUGGGACACAGAUGAAAUUAGUUCAGUAGAUUUGAUAGGAGAUUGCGGAAGCUUUUUCUUGAUUGGUUUUCAUUCACCAGUGAAAUGGAAAGCAAGGCAUUAGCUAAGAUUGAAGAGGGAAAUGGGAUCCGAAGUGAGGAGAAAGGGGUGAGACACUCAUCUGGAAGAGUGGGAAAGUGAAUGCACAGGG